This 45-nucleotide non-coding RNA is filed under the name Schistosoma haematobium. Lineage: Eukaryota; Metazoa; Platyhelminthes; Trematoda; Strigeidida; Schistosomatidae. The record is from RNAcentral.
AUCUGGCUGACGAGUCCCAAGUGGGACGGAGUGCGCGUCCUGGAU